Molecule: long non-coding RNA, 4233 nt
Organism: Bombus huntii
Lineage: Eukaryota; Metazoa; Arthropoda; Insecta; Hymenoptera; Apidae
Exons: 3
Source: RefSeq, a predicted model, not a curated record
AACUAACGUCUAGGCUAUUUAUUAUUUACAGCAUCGUUUAAAAAUUUACAUGCUAUAGCGUGUAAUUUCGAAUUCAUUUUACCGUUAUUUACGAAUAUAAAUUGUAAUAUAUAUUUGUAACAAGCUAUAAUCAAUAGUAUCUUCAUUAAGAAAGCAUAGUCGACAUUGUUUUUCAGAAAUAAUUCAUUUUUGACAGACAAAUUUGCAGAAAAAGGUGUAAUAAGCUUUGUACACAAUAUUGCCCGUAAUCUAAACAAAAGACAAAAGUUUUCAACCUUCACGUCGCUUCGAUGGAGAAUGUUGCACAGUGCCUUCCGGACAAGAUGAAUUCGUUUCGGAGAGCACGGUGGACGCGAACAGAGCUUAGUAUCGAGUUAGCGAAACGACGCAGGAUUAUAAUGCGAAUCUAAUGCGAAUGAUUCCAAGAUGUUCUCCUGGAUGCACAUGGAAGAAAGAGAGGAGACACGCAGGGAAUGGCGGUUGGCGAAACAUCCGAGUGUUUAUCACGCGACUGAAUGAUUACAACGAUGGUUCGUUGAAGUUCGUUGAAGUUCUCUUCUGUCCUUGAAGUAUGACGUUAGAAGGACGGUCAGUAUUGAUUUUGAUUGGAAAACGGGAAGUUUGAAAUAUCAGCCGAAGAAGGUAUGUAGUUAGAAGCAAACAUUCAAUAUUUGCUGUUUACUGUUAGAUUUUGCUCAAAUAAAAUAUUCCUGGUGGAUCGAUGUCUAUGUGUGAUAGACGCGAGUGUGCGUCUCUGUUGUUUGCUUUGUUAAUUCUUACUGUUACUUGUUUAUGUUCAAGUUUAAUAUUUUUAUUUGUCUUGGGCUUUUGAAAAGCAUGUACAAAUUUUCAGAUAUUUACAGAUGUGUCUACUAUGUUAUAUCGUUCGUGUGUUAUAAUCGUUCAUUGAAAUGAACAAAUAUUUGAAACUUCGCACGAUAAAAAUUAAUAUUCUUUUGCAAGAACUUUAGCAGUGAAAUUUUGCUUGAUUCGUUUAUCUAUGUAGAUUUAAAUUUCUUUAAAAAUUUACUUUAAAAAUAAUUCAAAAUAUUCGAAGUCAUAUUACGUUAUCGGUAACAAUACAGGAAUAUUGUAUAAAUAUGGAAAAUCUAAAAAAGAACCAUGUUUCCUGUUAAAUCAUUCAACGUGACGAAUAAAAGAACAAGUUUCAAGAAUCAAAUUUCAUUCGCACUGUCAAUGAUAUAGUUUAUAUAUGCUGUGAUGAAUCAAACGUCAUAAAUAAUUCAUAAAUAAUACGGAACAAUGCUUAAUAUCAAUAUUCUAUACGCUUAUCUCACAAAAUCUGAGAUAUUAUUCGCUUAAACGCAGACUAUCCAUUCCAAAGAUACACUGUUCGAUCACAGCUCUCUUGAGCUAUGAAAAAAGAAAAAAAAAACGAUUUAGAAGAACCGUAACACAGCAUACUUGCUAUCUGUCGUUCAAUAUUUUAUCUAUUACUAAAUUCGAUUUUGACGGAGCGUCGUGUUUAGCUUUCAGUCAACGACAAUAGAGCAACCUCAACCUCGAUAUACAUCGAGUAUGCGCUCGCGUCACGCGACAAGCCGCGUUAUGAAUAUUGACAAAAAUCGCUCGAUAAUUUAUAGUCGAUUGUGCCAAGUACUCAUGAAUUUAUUCAAUAGAGAACUCGACCUGGGUAAUCCGCUUUCUAUAAGUUGCCGAUCUUGGAUCGACGCGUUUUAUUUCACCCUGGUCUUGUCCUCGAUACACAUGGAACAAUGCGGAAACAUGGUGCUAGCACGCGUCUUGCUUCAACCAGUUUCUUACCUUGCUCCGCGAUUUAUAUUCUUUGGUAUUUGGAAGACAAAUACACGAGGUAUGACUAUCGAGUCUCGAGAAAUAGUUUUGAAAUUGUAACGUUAUAAUCGGAAAAUAUGGCAUAUAUAUAUAUAGUUUUCAAAUUAUCAUAGAUAUAAAUUUAUUAUAGUUAAACAAGUAUCAAACAUACGUAGAUUUUCAUGAGUGUAUGCAUUGUGGCCUUCAGAUGUUUCAUAAAUUUGUCAGAAAUUUGUGCGGAUACGUGUGGUAAUUCGAAAACUGUUCCUCGAAAUUUUAUUUAUUUACGACACAGUGUCUGAAUCAUCGGGGAUAUGGUUUCAUAAUGAUUCGACGACUAUCAAAUGUGUACAUGUAGAAACGUUCAUUCGUCAAAAAUUUCUACACACGUAAUUCGAGAAUUCUGUUUCUCGAAAUUUUAUUCAUCUUUGACAAUAUAGUCGCGAUAUAUGUGUUACACGAGUAUACCGAUACACGACAGCCGAGUCUCAUUUCAGUCCUAACUUUCGAAGCGUUUCGUGUCUAUAGCGCACAUAAUACAUCCAUAAAAGGUGUCUACAAGUGUUCGAACACUUUGGUUGGCCUGUGUAUGAUAAGGUAAAUUUCGUAGGGGUCGCUGGUUAGGGGUCAGAGGUUUCCUCGUAUGUUCCAUGUAAGCCCGGUCUGUUCUCGAGAAAGGGCACACGCGGGCUUCCAAUCAAAUACACGUCAAGGAGCUUAACAAAGGACGGGCAUAAUUCAUUGCGCGUAUUGGUAGCCACGAUCUGGCUUGGUCAAGCAAAAGGGUGAAGGUUGAGAAAAGUAAGAAACAGCGUUGUACGAUGCGAGAAAAAGAGAAGGCUGUAUAUCGGUAGGGGAUAGAAACGAGGGAGAAAAUGCGCGAGAUAACAAACCAGAGAGCUCGCGGCUCUGCCAACCUUGUGAAAUAUGCACCCAUAUAUCAAUGGCGUGCAUAUCAAUUGCCACUACUGCCAACUGGCAUGACUAUAAAGCCAGCCAACUGCUCGGAUGCUGGCCAACGCCGUGGAAUCGUACAGGGAGAAAAGGAAAGAUCCGAGUCCUGGGUCCUACCUCCGUGCUCGGCGAACCUUUCAGGGCCCGCGAGCCUGUUAUUCGAUCGGCCUUUAUUAGCCAUAAAUUUGAUAUGAUACGCGAGGAAUAUGAUAAUGGCCAUCAGGUCAUGGGGAAUUGCCGAACGGAUAGGUCGAUGUUUCGCUCCUUUAACGUGUUGAUGAUGGUGUAUAUAGGUGUAUGCGAUAUAGGUGUUGGGUUGGUAGUGUGGACGUAUACGCUUGACAGUCAUUGGGCGAACCUUUUCGAGGAAGUUACAUGGAGACUGAUUGUAUAAGUAGCUAAGUUGGAAGCCUACGGGGUGGUCAAAAAAUGUAUUAUGGGCAGGUUCAUUUACAGGAAUCUAUUUGGAGAUGAAUACGUAUUUGCGAUAAAGUCUACAAUGUAACUCAAGCUUCUGCACACUUUCUAUUUGGAACCUAUUUGGAGAUGAAUACGUAUUUGCGAUAAAGUCUACAGUGUAACUCAAGCUCCUGUACACCUACAUACUCACGUGUGUAUAUAUGUAUAAACCUUUGUUGAGGUUCCUCAAAUUAAAAAAAAAAAGUAGAAAAGUUAGAGCACCCGGUCUACGAGGAUUAAAUAAUAGGAAUUACUUGCGUUGAGAUAAAUGAAUUCAACUAUUAUGGGAGCUUUAGUUAAUCUACUAACAGAUAAGAUUUCAUUAGAAUUUAAUUUAAUAGGUUAGUAUGUAAUUUAAUUAGUUGAUAGGUUAACGGAGUUCUAUGUCAAAUAAUGCAAGUGUUUCGAGUUUAGAUCGAUCCUAUGAAAGUCAUGAUUGAUCUGACAGAUACAAAUUUGAAUAAAUACGCAGACACGUUUUAAAGCUUACUGUUAUACGAUACAAUAAAUCUGCAUGUUUAUUACAUGCGAAAUUUCUAUAUCUCGAACAUACAAAUAUUAUUUUUAUAUAUGAUUCACGUUGUAGAUAUUUCACACGCAUCCAUCAAUGGAGAUACUUGGUUAAUUCAUCUAAUUUCAUAAUUUAUUUUACACAUUUUAUUCGUACAACGAAUACAAUGUAUCUUACUUAUCAGUCUGUCUCGAAGCUUGUACUUAUAUUCCGUUUAAUAAUUAUAAAUUGAACAUUACUUGUAUAUUUUACGAUCCUUAUAGAAUAAGUGACACUUCAUCGCAGGUUAUAUUCACUGUAUCUCUCAAAUAUAUUACGACUAAAGGAAUUUUUAAGACCUCUAAAGUCUCCAGAAGAUUUUUCUAACGUUCUCAUAAUCUUCCGGAUCGGUAUUCGGCCGGUUUACCAUUUACCGGAAUUCUCGACGAUUUUACUUAACUUUAGUCGUAUUAGAUGCAAUGAUUCACUGGCCGCAAAUGGUCGCACGAUGAACACAAUGCGCUCGUUAACGCGUC